CCCCACCCCAGGGCCGCCGUCGUUUCGGCGCGGUCUGCGAGUCGGGCGUGAAACGGGGUUCCAGAGGUUGAUCCCCGCCCCUGCGGCCGCUCGCCCGGCGCUGCAGUUUCGCGGGAAAGAGAAUAGCGGCGUCAAGAAGGCCGGUUCGUCUGAUUGGCGACGAUGAGAUGAGAUGGGCGUACAGUGCUCAACAUAGUGCCUAGAGCAUAGUAAGCCCCCAAAUAGCUUUAUCACUUAUUACUCUUUUUAUAUUACAUACAACUUUAUGAAGGUCCGGGAUCUCAUUUAAAAUGAGGGAAAUGAGAUCGAGGCGUUAAGAAACUUAUUCGGGGUUGCGUGGCUGGUAGACGAUGGAGAUGGGAUUCGAACACCGCUGUGUAGCCCAAACCUGCACUUUUAAUUCACUUCUUCCCAAAUUAACCUCAGUAUUUGAUGUGGACACAAUGAAGGGUUCAACGUUGCAGUCCUUUUACAGACUUGGAAGGCACAUUAGUAGGGAUAGGAUGUUUCGAUAUCUACCGAAGAUUUUAAGUACAAAAGACAGUGGGAAAUUACUGCGAAUUUUUGCAGGUUCCGACUUUAAGUGUCUCAGCUUGAGCGCUGAGGACAUGAGGGCAGGAAACAAGCACAUUUUCUUUCGACUAUGUUCUUCCCGGUCAGCAGUUACCAGUGUGACAAAGGAAAAGCCGUCUGACCUCAAAGAAAGGUGACCUCCUGUCCCCUGAUACCUCUCUCUGCAGUCCAGGGCUUCCGAAAGGAGCCAUCUCUGGAUGAAAACUGACUUUUUCUGUGCUGCUUUUUUUUUUUUUUUUUAACUUUGAACAGUGUAGCAGAAGAUUUUUACAAAGGAAGGUUUUGCUCCAAAUGAACAAAGUUUCCCAGAAGAAAAAACAAUCUAAAAAGCUUCUCCACCACCUGUCCUGGUAAGGCACAGAGAGGACAUGACUUCACAUGAGAGAGCUUAUCAAAUAAAAGCUGCUUGUCAUA
This 987-nucleotide long non-coding RNA is filed under the name Mustela putorius furo (domestic ferret). RNAcentral describes it as "lncRNA (ENSMPUG00000029136.1)". Lineage: Eukaryota; Metazoa; Chordata; Mammalia; Carnivora; Mustelidae. The record is from RNAcentral.